This is a long non-coding RNA of Chelonia mydas (Green sea turtle), 491 nucleotides long. RefSeq lists it as uncharacterized. NCBI's taxonomy places the organism in Eukaryota, Metazoa, Chordata, Testudines, Cheloniidae. The record is from RefSeq and is a predicted model, not a curated record. The transcript has 3 exons.
AUUGGCACCACUGGAUAAGGGUUUCCUCACCAGCAUGCAGCGAAUCCCAGGCAGUGGGGUACAGAGACAUGCUCCCACCUCCCUGAGCAGAUACAUGCAGUGGGGAAGCUAUUCGCUGUUUAAAUGAAGAUGUGCUCUCAAAAUGGAAGAAGGAGGCAGUGUGAUGUUGCACUCCAUAUGUUUUAUGGAAAUAUGCUUAUGAGUGUGAAUAUGAUAUAACUGGAAUAUGCUUUAUGCAAAAGGUCUCUUGUAAGGUAUCAUAACAAAGGUUAUAACCUACUGAAUAUAUUCUUCCUAUUUGUAUGCAUGUAUCAUUCUUGUAUCUGAAGCUAGAAAUAGGAGUAUAACUCUGGAGGUCCUUUUGUAAUCAUGCAAAGUGUGGGCCAUUAAUGGUGGUUUAGAAUCUUGAUGGCUCCCACUGACUAGGACAAUUGGUUGUAAAUGGUUUAUUUACCUGCACGCCUUCCUGGGAUGGUGUGGAAUGGAGGGAG